GAUGGCGAACACCCGAUCUAAGUGGAAGGGUUCUGAAUCAGUUUUAACCGAGAGCACGAAGAAACGAAGAAUCGAGAACGUGAUUUUAACUUCACAAAGACGAACACGUAUCUUAGAGACAGAGCAAGCAGAUGGCAUCAGUUAAAAAAUACCGAAGGGAUUAAAACAGACCCUCCGUUGGCCAAGCUAAUGCCUUGGCACAGUUUUGAAAGCAAGCCUGAGAUCUAGAGCGUCUGGUCAUAAAGAAACUGAAGCCAAUGAAGAUGACCACAGGCGGCAUGGAGUCCAGCCACUACGGACGACACUAUUACUAGUCGCACUUAGAUAUCAGAGGAUUUAUAACACAAAAGUUCUCGGAGGACAAUAGUGCCGUACAAGGUGGAAAGGACAUACCAACACAUCCAGGGACUCAUCAAUCUGAUAGUGGCCAACAGAAUAAAGGAUAGAACUGGAAUAUCUAAACCAAAACCCUUGCAUCAAAUAGAUCCCAGAAGAUUCAAACUCCUAGCCCAUGUUCCUCCAUCAUCUACUGCCCAAAUGGUAGAGGAGAAGAAAUCCCAAUUAAGAUGAAUGGGAAUAAUUGAAAUUUUGAGACUAAUCACGUUCCAGAGACUAUUACUUUUGAAUAUCUGUCCUUACGUUUAGUAGCUGACCUGGUCCGAAGGACCAAGGUGAGUAUGCCAUACUGAGGCGUCCGGCAUUCGUCUGUCAACAUUGUGAACACAAUAUUUGAAUAACUUGAGUAAAUAUCAGAAUAUACCAAAUUUGAUAAAACUUUAUAUGCAGCCAUAUAUCGACAAGAUCUCAGACAACUUCAAAAAUAGAAAUUAUUGGACAGUAGUUUGCAGAGUUAUUGCCCUUUGUAAUGGUCUUAUUAUUAACAUUUUUUUAGUUCACUGGUCAGAAUGGAAACUCUUUUUAAAAUUCUACUAGUCCUGAACAAUUAAAUGGAUUUGAUGAAAUUUGGCCAGGAGAAUUAUGUGGCAAUGUUAUAUGUUGCAUAAAUGAAGCGUCAUCAUCAUCUGAGUGGCACCUUUGGGGCACAAUAAGAGAAUUACCCGGUAUAGCAAAAAAAAAGAUUAAACUCAUUUUUUUUUCAAGAAUUACAUCUAGUCCACUUGUAGUUUGAACCAUUGUUGGGAGAGGUAGUUCAAAAGUAGAAAAAUGUUUGAAAUGUAACUUAAAUUUGAGUAUUUUGCCAUCAUUACUGAAUUAUCCAGGUUAGCGAUGCAGGCCCUCUGGGCCUUUAGUUUAUUGGUAUAAUGUUACUAUAAUAGCUUAGCUGUUAUCCAUUCCAUAAAUGUCAUAUGAUAAUCAGUGCAGCCUUAAUUUCAAAAUUUAUAUAAUCUCAAGAGACAAACAACAUUGUGUGGUCUGAAAUUUAAAUGCUUAGUCAAAAAUGAUUAUUCAUAGCUGUACAUGUGUGCACUAUGGAAAUAUUCAUGUUAACACUCACAAGUAAUUAUAAACUCUCAAAAUUCAUUGAUGUCAACACCCACUAGUGCUCAAUAGUAACAGAUGUCAACACUCACUAAUACUCAAUAGUCAUUUAUGUCAACACUCACUAAUACUCAAUUGUCAUAUAUGUCAACACUCACAAAUACUCAAUAGUCAUGUAUGUCAACACUCCAUAAUACUCAAUAGUCAUUGAUGUCAACACUCAAUUAUCACUGAUGCCAACAAUUGUCAUUGAUGUUAAAUCACUAGUCAUGGCAGUCAACUUUCUCUAGUCAUUGAUGCCAAUGCUUACAUCUGAGCAAGACAAUAAAUACAAUGUGGUAAAUUCUUUAUUUGCAUGUUUGACUUUUCUCAGUGUUUUCUAUAUCAAAACUAUUUGUGAGACAAAUUGUACUGUGCAUUUACUGUUUUGUGUAUUAUCAACAUCAUAAGUCACUGUUCUGUUGAUAUUCUGAUAAAUUAGGGUUGCAUCUUUAGGUCACCUGAGAUGAAGUAUGAAGUGACCUAUUCUAACUGACUUUUGUCUGUCGUCUUGCGUUGUUUGUCUUAAACAAUUUGUCAGUAAGCUUUCAUGGUCAAAAGGUCAACCAAAACUGUGGAUUACAUAGUCCCAACCCCCAGGGACCUGAGGGGCAGGGUCAAAAAGGGUCAAAUUGACUAAAAUUUAAAAGAUCUCAGCUCCCAGAUAUGGUAGAAUCAUAUACUGGUAACAGAUAGCAAGGUCUUUAACAAAAAUUGUGAAUUUCAUGACCCUGAGGGGGGACUAAAAUUUAUAUAGGGAAAUCACAAUUUUGAUCAGCAUUUGUUUGAUUUCUAUUGA
Long non-coding RNA from Pecten maximus, 2278 nucleotides. RefSeq lists it as uncharacterized. The record is from RefSeq and is a predicted model, not a curated record. The transcript has 3 exons. Lineage: Eukaryota; Metazoa; Mollusca; Bivalvia; Pectinida; Pectinidae.